UACGUAAGGGGCCAGCGUUGUCCGGAAUCAUUGGGCGUAAAGAGCGUGUAGGCGGCCAUUUAAGUCCUGCGUGAAAUCCUGCGGCUCAACCGCAGGCGGUCGUGGGAAACUGGAUGGCUAGAGUGCGGGAGAGGAGAGUGGAAUUCCUGGUGUAGCGGUGGAAUGCGCAGAUAUCAGGAAGAACACCCGUGGCGAAGGCGGCUCUCUGGAACGCAACUGACGCUGAGACGCGAAAGCGUGGGGAGCAAACAGG
RNAcentral lists this ribosomal RNA (253 nucleotides) under uncultured bacterium. RNAcentral describes it as "partial 16S ribosomal RNA". It matches the Rfam family "Bacterial small subunit ribosomal RNA", at positions 524 to 776 of the family's 1533-position model. The record is from RNAcentral.